This 253-nucleotide ribosomal RNA is filed under the name uncultured bacterium. Its description in RNAcentral is "partial 16S ribosomal RNA". It matches the Rfam family "Bacterial small subunit ribosomal RNA", at positions 524 to 776 of the family's 1533-position model. The record is from RNAcentral.
UACGUAGGGGGCAAGCGUUGUCCGGAUUCAUUGGGCGUAAAGAGCGUGUAGGCGGCCAGGUAGGUCGGUUGUGAAAACUGGAGGCUCAACCUUCAGACGUCGACCGAAACCAUCUGGCUAGAGUCCGGGAGAGGAGAGUGGAAUUCCUGGUGUAGCGGUGAAAUGCGUAGAGAUCCGGAAGAACACCGGUGGCGAAGGCGGCCUGCUGGGCAGUGGCUGACGCUGAGGCGCGGCAGCGUGGGGAGCAAACAGG